Non-coding RNA from Triticum aestivum (bread wheat), 140 nucleotides. The record is from Rfam. Lineage: Eukaryota; Viridiplantae; Streptophyta; Magnoliopsida; Poales; Poaceae.
CCGAUUGACGACGACGAGCUGAUCUCCUACAUCAUCGCCAACCUCGACAUGGAGUACCAGCCCCUCGUCUCGGCCAAUGAAGUCCUCACUGAGAGCAUCAGCCUCAGACGACGUCUUUGCUCAGAUGAGCAACUUUAACC